GUGGGGAAUUUUGGACAAUGGGCGCAAGCCUGAUCCAGCCAUGCCGCGUGCAGGAUGAAGGCCUUCGGGUUGUAAACUGCUUUUGUACGGAACGAAACGGCUCUUUCUAAUAAAGAGGGCUAAUGACGGUACCGUAAGAAUAAGCACCGGCUAACUACGUGCCAGCAGCCGCGGUAAUACGUAGGGUGCAAGCGCUAAUCGGAAUUACUGGGCGUAAAGCGUGCGCAGGCGGUUUUGUAAGACAGGCGUGAAAUCCCCGGGCUCAACCUGGGAAUUGCGCUUGUGACUGCAAGGCUGGAGUGCGGCAGAGGGGGAUGGAAUUCCGCGUGUAGCAGUGAAAUGCGUAGAUAUGCGGAGGAACACCGAUGGCGAAGGCAAUCCCCUGGGCCUGCACUGACGCUCAUGCACGAAAGCGUGGGGAGCAAACAGGAUUAGAUACCCGGGUAGUCC
Molecule: ribosomal RNA, 450 nt
Filed under: uncultured bacterium
Lineage: Bacteria
Description: partial 16S ribosomal RNA
Rfam family: Bacterial small subunit ribosomal RNA
Source: RNAcentral